GAGCGUGGGCUCUACAAAACACAUGUGCUUUCAGUACGUUUUGUGUGUGGUGGAUCUGCCCUUGAGGUUCCUGUUUUCUGUAGGUGACCCAGUGUGCUUGGUUAGUUUCUGAAUUUGCCUCCCUUACUUAGAACACAACUAGAAUCUGUUUGGGAGAAAUUAAUGUUUCGUAUGUGAAAUGUUUUCAGGAAGCAGGGUGACUAACUGGCUACCUCUUUAUGAGGGUAAUGGCAGCUCUUACCUUUCUGAGCAAGCUGAGCUGAGAUACAGAAUUGUUUGUUAAUUUAAGAUGGACUUUCACAUUCACACAUUUCACAUGUAUGGCACAUGCAUUGAACAUACAUAAUGGCCUUUCUGUUUUCCCAAACUAAUUUAUUUAACAGUUUCUCUAACAAUCUCUCUCCUUUGUGUACAGUUCUUGAGAGAAGCUGAAGUACUGGUCUAGAGAGACGGCUCAGUGCCCUUGUUUAUGCUGUGGUCAUCUCAUUGAAAAGGUUACAUGGAAGGCACAGUGGGGGUGGGGGAUAGCUGAUCCAUGGGAUGCCCCUCUUUUCCUUUAGGCCAUAUCCUGUACCCACACCCGGUGUCCAGGCUCGGUGGUACAGAUACAGCCCUUCCCUUUGGGGAAUGCCUAGGUCUGUGCUCUAAUGCACAUCAUCUGGACCCCAUGAGUAGAGUUCUUCCCCUCCUAGACAUGUACUGGGGAUUCUUUUCAAGACAUUAACUUGUUUAGAGGCUUGUCUAAACAAACUAUAGCUUGGGAAUACUACUGAUGUUUAAAGGUUUGGGUUUUUUUUUUUAAAGUUUUUAAGUUUUAUAUUUUUUGAGAUAGUCUCACUUUGUAGCCCAGAUUGGCUUUGAGCUUGUGAUCCUUCUGUCUCAGCCUAUCAGGUACCAGGAUUGCAGGUGUGUACCACUGUGCAUGGCUCCUCCUUUUUAAGUCAAAAUGUUUACGUUUCAUCACUGAAAGUGGUUGGGAUAGAAUAGUUUUAAAGUUUCCUUCCUAGAAAGAAAAAUACUCUUGUCUGCAUAUAGUGUUGAUGAUAGUAGAUGUGUUUUCCAUGAAGAAAUUUAGAAACACCCUCACUCUUUGCCUGUACUCACCUUUACUCUUGAGCUCUACCUGUUGGAUGGACAAACAGGAAGCUCCCCUCAUGCUCAUGGUCGCCCUAUGAUCUGGCAGAACAUUCACCCAAGGUUCUAGCCUAAGUAUUAGCCCCGCCUUAAGAUGUCCCAGGAGCAGCUUGUUUAUACGCUACCAUGGCGUUGUGUAAGUAGGAUCCAGCACCUACUAAGAAGCAAUCUUUGUCAGCCCACUGAUGAACCAUUUAGCUAAACCACACUGUAACUCUUUUUUAAGCUAAAUGAUAUCUCAGUGCCUUGAAAGUUAAGAACCUAAGGGAGGGCUGGGGUUUGGCACCAAUGAGCUGGCUCUGUGCACUUCACCUACAGAAAGAUUCCAGAGCUUAAGGUGAGCCACUGAGACAAGUCCAGCUACUUAACUUUCUACAGUUCCAGUUCCAUAGAAGUUAGCCACUGUGACAGAUGACAACUGCUUUUACCACCCUUCACCACACGGGGGCAUUCUCCUCUUUCUCCUUUUUUUUCUUUCUUUUUUUCCAAGUAAGUAUGAAAUUAGAAAACUGUAGUCAAACAAAUUAAAUGUGGGAUUUUAAAGUUGAGUUUUAUGUAAACUAGAGAUUCCUGUGUGGACAGUGUUAGUUUAAUAUUGUAGUACAAAGGCAGACACUUUAUGUAACCUUUAGAAAUAUGUUUACCAUCAGGGAUUUAUUUUUACGAUAGAAAUACUAAAUGUACUGUGAAGUUUAAAGACAGGAAGGAUAGACAUUGGAGGAUGAUACUCAGACAGAAGUGUGUUUGAUGAACCCGCAUUAUGUGAACACGAUUUCCCCUUCUGUUACGACUAUAGACUACACUGUAUGAGGAUGUGUAUUGCAUGUUUACAUAAAACAAUUUCAUUUUGAAGGAUUAUUUAAACUGUGUUUAUAUGUAAUACCUAACAGGUUGUAAAUAUUGUAUACUAUUGAUUUUUAAUUUUAUAUGAGCAAUUUUUUUAUUUCCCAAGUCAUGUACAAAUCUCAUUGUGUAUAUAGCAUAACUCCCUGGAGACACAAAUUUUGCAGUGAAUUUUAAGUAUUUUAAUCGCAGUAAGCAUCAGGUUAGCCUCAGAGAUGCUGGUCCUUAUUUUAAAUUAUUUUUCACCACACAUUUUCUUCAAAGGGCAGCAAUAAACAUAUGCAAGUUACUUUGAUUCUUGAAAGUUGGCCUCAGAAGAUAAGAAUGCAGUUCAGUUCACUGCUGUAAAGGGAGACGCACAACUUACACCAUCUGCGUCUGGUCCCAGGACAACUUCCGAGAUCCAUCUGCACAUGGCUCUCCUCUUUGUAAUAUACAGGGUGAACUGCUGAAAACACACAGAAUAUAUGUUAAAGUGAGUCCAGCACUUCAAUGUCAUUACACAGAAUUUAUUGGAUUAAAGUUUGUAAUAUACAGUAUUUUAAUAAAGUUUCUGUAUUCAAUUUCAUGCACUUAUAUAUAAAUAAACCUGUCUUUAAAAACUUUAUACAGUGAUG
Molecule: long non-coding RNA, 2594 nt
Filed under: Rattus norvegicus (Norway rat)
Lineage: Eukaryota; Metazoa; Chordata; Mammalia; Rodentia; Muridae
Description: long non-coding RNA NONRATT012879
Source: RNAcentral